This 241-nucleotide ribosomal RNA is filed under the name uncultured bacterium. RNAcentral's name for it is "partial small subunit ribosomal RNA". It matches the Rfam family "Bacterial small subunit ribosomal RNA", at positions 26 to 285 of the family's 1533-position model. The record is from RNAcentral.
AGAAUCAACGCUGGCGGCGUGCCUAACACAUGCAAGUCGCACGAGAAAGGGUAGCAAUACCUGAGUAAAGUGGCGCACGGGUGAGUAACACGUGAAUGAUCUACCUCCGAGUGGGGAAUAACUGAGAGAAAUCUUAGCUAAUACCGCAUAACACUUACGAGUCAAAGCAGCAAUGCGCUUGGAGAGGAGUUCGCGGCCGAUUAGUAGUGGCGGGUAAUGGCCCACAAGACGAUGAUCGGUA